Molecule: ribosomal RNA, 252 nt
Filed under: uncultured bacterium
Lineage: Bacteria
Description: partial 16S ribosomal RNA
Rfam family: Bacterial small subunit ribosomal RNA
Source: RNAcentral
UACGAAGGGGGCUAGCGUUGCUCGGAAUCACUGGGCGUAAAGGGCGCGUAGGCGGUUACGGCAGUCGGGUGUGAAAGCCCGGGGCUCAACCCCGGAACGGCACCCGAUACUCUGUGGCUAGAGACCGGAGAGGUGGGUGGAAUACCCAGUGUAGAGGUGAAAUUCGUAGAUAUUGGGUGGAACACCGGUGGCGAAAGCGGCUCACUGGCCCGGUUCUGACGCUGAGGCGCGAAAGCGUGGGGAGCAAACAGG